This 179-nucleotide ribosomal RNA is filed under the name uncultured Neisseriales bacterium. RNAcentral describes it as "partial 16S ribosomal RNA". It matches the Rfam family "Bacterial small subunit ribosomal RNA", at positions 156 to 334 of the family's 1533-position model. The record is from RNAcentral. Lineage: Bacteria; Pseudomonadati; Pseudomonadota; Betaproteobacteria; Neisseriales.
AGUUUGGCUAAUACCGCGUAAGCUCCAAGGAGGAAAGUAGGGGACCUAAAUAAGGCCUUACGCUAUUUGAUCGGCCGAUGUCGGAUUAGUUAGUUGGUGGGGUAAUGGCUCACCAAGGCAAUGAUCCGUAGCGGGUCUGAGAGGACGAUCCGCCACACUGGGACUGAGACACGGCCCAG